UACGUAGGGUGCAAGCGUUGUCCGGAAUUAUUGGGCGUAAAGAGCUCGUAGGCGGUCUGUCGCGUCGGCUGUGAAAACCUGAGGCUCAACCUCAGGCCUGCAGUCGAUACGGGCGGACUUGAGUACUGCAGGGGAGACUGGAAUUCCUGGUGUAGCGGUGAAAUGCGCAGAUAUCAGGAGGAACACCGAUGGCGAAGGCAGGUCUCUGGGCCUGUACUGACGCUGAGGAGCGAAAGCGUGGGGAGCGAACAGG
This 253-nucleotide ribosomal RNA is filed under the name uncultured bacterium. Its description in RNAcentral is "partial 16S ribosomal RNA". It matches the Rfam family "Bacterial small subunit ribosomal RNA", at positions 524 to 776 of the family's 1533-position model. The record is from RNAcentral.